UACGUAGGGUGCGAGCGUUGUCCGGAAUUAUUGGGCGUAAAGGGCUCGUAGGCGGUUUGUCACGUCGGGAGUGAAAACGCCGUGCUUAACACGGCGCUUGCUUUCGAUACGGGCAGACUAGAGGUAUGCAGGGGAGAACGGAAUUCCUGGUGUAGCGGUGAAAUGCGCAGAUAUCAGGAGGAACACCGGUGGCGAAGGCGGUUCUCUGGGCAUUACCUGACGCUGAGGAGCGAAAGUGUGGGGAGCGAACAGG
RNAcentral lists this ribosomal RNA (253 nucleotides) under uncultured bacterium. RNAcentral describes it as "partial 16S ribosomal RNA". It matches the Rfam family "Bacterial small subunit ribosomal RNA", at positions 524 to 776 of the family's 1533-position model. The record is from RNAcentral.